AUGGACAAAGAAGCACACAUUCAGCUACUUGCUUCUGAUUGGCCAAUGCUUGAAGUCAUGGCAUGUCCCGAUUGGUGCUCCUGGUUCAUGUCUCUCUCCCUUAUCUCCUCAAGUGCACAGUCGCAGCCAGCACCUCACGCCUCAUCUCUUCGCUGCCUCGCCGGAGUCGCCGCUCCUCGCCGGAGACGCCGCUCCUCACGCCGCCACAGGUCCUGUCCCCUUCUUCUUCUUCUUCUUCUUCUUCUUCUUCUUCACCCAAGCAGCAGCAUCAGGCUACACUCGCUGCUCCUCGCCGGACAGCAGCGGCGCAGCCGCAAGCAUCGGCCGCCGCUGCUGCUCGUCUUCCUCGGCCACGACAGCAACAGGUGGUCAAGCACGUGUGCAAGCAGCAUCAGUUCGGUGGCUUUGACGCAAGGCAUGAGGAGGCGGCUGCUCCGUGCAACACUGCAUCUCGCCGUCCUCCUCUCGAUCUGUGCCUUCCCUGAACAUCGGAGGCCUGUGCGCAGCUCACCAACGCGGCCAUUGCGGCACUACGGCGACCACCACGGGUGCAUGGGCGGGGCACACGCGAUGGGAGCAGCGCCGGCGACUGGGUUUGGCCACGAUUAA
Molecule: ribosomal RNA, 609 nt
Filed under: Triticum aestivum (bread wheat)
Lineage: Eukaryota; Viridiplantae; Streptophyta; Magnoliopsida; Poales; Poaceae
Description: partial small subunit ribosomal RNA
Source: RNAcentral